AACGAACGCUGGCGGCACGCCUAACACAUGCAAGUCGAGCGCUUCCCUUCGGGGAGGAGCGGCGGACGGGUUAGUAACGCGUGGGAACAUGCCCUUUACUAAGGAAUAGCCUCGGGAAACUGAGAGUAAUACCUUAUACGCCCUUCGGGGGAAAGAUUUAUCGGUAAAGGAUUGGCCCGCGUAAGAUUAGAUAGUUGGUGGGGUAAUGGCCUACCAAGUCGACGAUCUUUAGCUGGUUUGAGAGGAUGAUCAGCAACACUGGGACUGAGACACGGCCCAG
RNAcentral lists this ribosomal RNA (280 nucleotides) under uncultured Thalassovita sp. Its description in RNAcentral is "uncultured Thalassobius sp. partial 16S ribosomal RNA". It matches the Rfam family "Bacterial small subunit ribosomal RNA", at positions 29 to 334 of the family's 1533-position model. Lineage: Bacteria; Pseudomonadati; Pseudomonadota; Alphaproteobacteria; Rhodobacterales; Roseobacteraceae. The record is from RNAcentral.